This is an RNA transcript of Hemicordylus capensis (graceful crag lizard), 1520 nucleotides long. It is a transcript of the gene named negative elongation factor complex member E, with no coding region annotated. NCBI's taxonomy places the organism in Eukaryota, Metazoa, Chordata, Lepidosauria, Squamata, Cordylidae. The record is from RefSeq and is a predicted model, not a curated record. The transcript is spliced from 12 exons.
CACAUUUCUGAUCUGCCAAUGGGCAUCAUGUUGCUGGGCAGCUUAUGCAAAUUAGGAUGUUUGUUCCCACCCACUCCUCCAUGAUUGUUCUGAGGAGGCUGCGGGAAGGAGGCGCGAGCGAGAGGUACAGAAAACGGAAGCCAUAAGCGACAGAGAAAUCAUUUGUCAAUCAUGAUUGUCUUGCCACCAGGACUAACAGAGGAAGAAGAAGCGCUGCAGAAAAAAUUUGCCAAACUCAAGAAGAAGAAAAAGGCCCUCAUGGCCUUAAAGAAGCAACAGAGUUCAACCAGCCAGGCCAGCCAGGGAGGAAUCAAACGCUCCAUCUCGGACCAGCCAGUAGUGGACACAGCCACAGCGACGGAGCAAGCCAAGAUGCUGGUGAAAACGGGGGCCAUCAGUGCUAUCAAGGCUGAGAACAAAAAUUCCGGGUUCAAGCGUUCCCGUACUCUGGAGGGAAAACUGAAGGAUCCUGAGAAAGGACCAGCUCCGACUUUCCAGCCUUUUCAGCGCAGCAUCUCAGCAGAUGAUGACUCUCAAGAGUCACGGCGACCUCAGAGGAAAUCUCUCUAUGAAAGCUUUGUAAGCUCCAGUGAUCGUCUGCGGGACCCAGAGAAGGAUCCAGAAGUGGGCAGGGAUCCAGACAAGGAGUCCGACCGGGGUGAAAACUUGCGUGGUUACGAGUGGGACUAUGAUCGCGAUCGGAGCCGGGACAGGAGCAGGGAACACGACCGAGACCGUGACCGAGACCGUGACCGUGAUAGAGAGCGUGACCGAGACCGCGAUCGUGACCGCGAUAGAGAGCGUGACAGAGAGGGCAGCUUUCGCUGCCUACCUAUGGGCUGUCUUUCCUCCUUUUCCUCUCAUCCAGGUUCAGAUUCUUUCCCAGACCGGCGGGCCCCACGCAAAGGGAACACGGUGUAUGUGUAUGGGGCGGACAUGAACCAGACUAUGCUGCGCACAGCUUUCUCUGCCUUUGGGAACAUCAUUGACCUCUCCAUGGACAACCCUCGCAACUGUGCUUUUGUCACCUACGAGAAGAUGGAGUCUGCAGACCAAGCCAUUGCUGAGCUCAAUGGUGCUGUGGUAGAAGAUGUGCAGUUAAAGGUCAGCAUUGCCCGCAAGCAGCCCAUGCUGGAUGCAGCCACUGGCAAAUCUGUCUGGGGAUCUUUGGGAGCCCAGAUCGGUGUACUACAUACUUCUCCUCACAACAACCCUGUGAAGUAGGUUAGGCUGAGAGAGAAGUGACUGGCCCAGAGUCACCUAGCAAGUAUCAUGGCUGAAUGGGGAUUUGAACUCGGGUCUCCCUGGUCCUAGUCCAGCACUCUAACCACUACACCACGAUGGCUCUCUUGAACUGUGAAUAACAGUGUCAAAGGCUCUCACCGAGACAAGCGAUCCCAGGUUGUCUACAAUGAAGAUAUCUUCUGAGGCCUGUGUGGUGAUCCCUUCUUGAGGGAUGGAGUGUGCUUUGAUUUUGUGUCAUUUAAUUAGGUAUUCAAAUAAACGUCUGCUGUUUUCUA